This 305-nucleotide ribosomal RNA is filed under the name uncultured bacterium. RNAcentral's name for it is "bacterial SSU rRNA". It matches the Rfam family "Bacterial small subunit ribosomal RNA", at positions 338 to 640 of the family's 1533-position model. The record is from RNAcentral.
CCUAGGGGCGCAGCAGUGAGGAAUAUUGGUCAAUGGGCGGAAGCCUGAACCAGCCAAGUCGCGUGAGGGAAUAAGGCCCUACGGGUCGUAAACCUCUUUUGCCGGGGAGCAAGGGCCGGGACGCGUCCCGGCCCGGAGAGUACCCGGAGAAAAAGCAUCGGCUAACUCCGUGCCAGCAGCCGCGGUAAUACGGAGGUCUCAAGCGUUGUUCGGAAUCACUGGGCGUAAAGCGUGCGUAGGCUGUUUCGUAAGUCGUGUGUGAAAGGCGCGGGCUCAACCCGCGGACGGCACAUGAUACUGCGAGA